RNAcentral lists this transfer RNA (69 nucleotides) under Ictidomys tridecemlineatus (thirteen-lined ground squirrel). Its description in RNAcentral is "Spermophilus tridecemlineatus (thirteen-lined ground squirrel) tRNA". It matches the Rfam family "tRNA". Rfam says of the family: Transfer RNA (tRNA) molecules are approximately 80 nucleotides in length. RNAcentral also lists the same sequence under 1 other name. The record is from Rfam by way of RNAcentral. Lineage: Eukaryota; Metazoa; Chordata; Mammalia; Rodentia; Sciuridae.
GGGGCUGUAGCUCAAUGGUAGAGCACUUGCCUAGCAUGCGUGAGGCACUGGGUUCAAUCCUCAGCACCA